UUUGCACUCCCUCCGUCCCGAAUUAAUUGUCUUAGAUUUGUCUAGAUACAGAUGUAUCUAGACACGUUUUAGUGUUAGGUACAUCUGUAUAUCUAGACAAAUCUAAGACAACUAAUUUGGGAUGGAGGUAAUACAUA
Triticum urartu is the source of this 137-nucleotide non-coding RNA. Lineage: Eukaryota; Viridiplantae; Streptophyta; Magnoliopsida; Poales; Poaceae. The record is from Rfam.